Molecule: ribosomal RNA, 1350 nt
Filed under: uncultured bacterium
Lineage: Bacteria
Description: bacterial SSU rRNA
Rfam family: Bacterial small subunit ribosomal RNA
Source: RNAcentral
GAUGAACGCUAGCGGGAGGCCUAAUACAUGCAAGUCGAACGGUAAGGCUCCUUCAGGAGUACACGAGUGGCAAACGGGUGCGUAACGCGUACGAAACAUGCCUUUAUCAGAGGGAUAGCCUUGGGAAACUAAGAAUAAUACCUCAUAAUAUCUAUUGUUUGCAUAAACAUAAGAUUAAAGCUCUGGCGGAUAAAGAUUGUCGUGCGUCCCAUUAGCUAGUUGGUAAGGUAACGGCUUACCAAGGCGACGAUGGGUAGCUGGUUUGAGAGGAUGAUCAGCCACACUGGUACUGAGACACGGACCAGACUCCUACGGGAGGCAGCAGUAGGGAAUAUUGGACAAUGGAGGCAACUCUGAUCCAGCCAUCCCGCGUGCAGGAAUAAGGCCCUCUGGGUUGUAAACUGCUUUUAUUAAGGAAGAAAACAUUGGAUUUAUCCGAUAUUGACGGUACUUAAUGAAUAAGCACCGGCUAACUCCGUGCCAGCAGCCGCGGUAAUACGGAGGGUGCGAGCGUUAUCCGGAUUUACUGGGUUUAAAGGGUGCGCAGGCGGUAAAUUAAGUCAGCGGUGAAAGGCUACAGCUCAACUGUAGGACUGCCGUUGAAACUGAUAUACUUGAGUGUGGGAAAGGUAGGCGGAAUACAACAUGUAGCGGUGAAAUGCAUAGAUAUGUUGUAGAACACCGAUUGCGAAGGCAGCUUACUGUACCAUAACUGACGCUGAGGCACGAAGGCGUGGGGAGCGAACAGGAUUAGAUACCCUGGUAGUCCACGCCCUAAACGAUGUUCACUCGAUAUUUGCGAUAAACAGUAAGUGUCCAAGCGAAAGCGUUAAGUGAACCACCUGGGGAGUACGAUCGCAAGGUUGAAACUCAAAGGAAUUGACGGGGGUCCGCACAAGCGGUGGAGUAUGUGGUUUAAUUCGAUGAUACGCGAAGAACCUUACCUAGGCUCUAAUUCUAUAUGACAGGCUCUGAAAAGAGUUUUUCCUUCGGGACAUAUAGGAAGGUGCUGCAUGGUUGUCGUCAGCUCGUGCCGUGAGGUGUUGGGUUAAGUCCCGCAACGAGCGCAACCCCUGUUCUUAGUUGCUAACAUUAAGUUGAGGACUCUAAGAAGACUGCCUGCGCAAGCAGAGAGGAAGGAGGGGAUGACGUCAAAUCAUCAUGGCCUUUAUGCCUAGGGCUACACACGUACUACAAUGGUAAAGACAAAGAGUAGCGACUUGGCGACAAGUAGCCAAUCUCAAAAACUUUAUCUCAGUUCGGAUUGGAGUCUGCAACUCGACUCCAUGAAAGCUGGAAUCGCUAGUAAUCGUAGAUCAGCCAUGCUACGGUGAAUACGUUCCCGGACCU